AUGCUGACUCAGUCACCCACAGCCUCAGCCUCCCUGGGAGCCUCAGUCAAACUCACCUGCACCUUGAGUAGUGACUACAGCACCAACACCAUUUAUUGGUACCAGCAACAUUCAGACAAGGCUCCUAAGUAUCUGAUGUAUGUUAACAGUAAUGGAUAUCAUAACAAGGGAGAUGGGAUCCCUGAUUGCUUCUCUGGCCCCGGCUCUGGGACUCACCGCUACUUAAGCAUCUUCAACAUCCAGUCUGAAGAUGAAGCUGACUAUUUCUGUGGUUUAGCUUAUAGCACUGGAGUACAAAAUGGGUGA
Alexandromys fortis (reed vole) is the source of this 306-nucleotide non-coding RNA. Lineage: Eukaryota; Metazoa; Chordata; Mammalia; Rodentia; Cricetidae. The record is from the annotation of a RefSeq genome assembly.